RNAcentral lists this ribosomal RNA (362 nucleotides) under Plectorhinchus chaetodonoides (harlequin sweetlips). RNAcentral describes it as "partial 12S ribosomal RNA". It matches the Rfam family "Bacterial small subunit ribosomal RNA", at positions 1019 to 1533 of the family's 1533-position model. The record is from RNAcentral. Lineage: Eukaryota; Metazoa; Chordata; Actinopteri; Lutjaniformes; Haemulidae.
CCCUUCCUUGUUUACCCCGCCUAUAUACCACCGUCGUCAGCUUACCCUGUGAAGGCCCAACAGUAAGCGAAAUUGGCAUGCCCCAAAACGUCAGGUCGAGGUGUAGCGCAUGGAAGGGGAAGAAAUGGGCUACAUUCACUACACCAGUGAACACGGAUAGUGCAUUGAAAUAUGCACUUGAAGGAGGAUUUAGCAGUAAGUAGAAAGCAGAGUGUUCCACUGAAAAUGGCCCUGAAGCGCGCACACACCGCCCGUCACUCUCCCCGAGCUCCCCCAAACCUAACUAACUAAAAUCAACAUUCGCAAUUAGGGGAGGCAAGUCGUAACAUGGUAAGUGUACCGGAAGGUGUACUUGGAAUAUA